Molecule: ribosomal RNA, 792 nt
Filed under: uncultured archaeon
Lineage: Archaea
Description: bacterial SSU rRNA
Rfam family: Archaeal small subunit ribosomal RNA
Source: RNAcentral
ACUGCUCAGUAACACGUGGACAACGUGCCCUAAAGUGGAGCAUAAUCUCGGGAAACUGAGGAUAAUUCUCCAUAGACCAUGAGAUCUGGAAUGACUUAUGGUUCAAAGUUCCGGCGCUUUAGGAUCGGUCUGCGGCCUAUCAGGUAGUAGUGGGUGUAACGUACCCCCUAGCCAGUUACGGGUAUGGGCCUUGAGAGAGGGAGCCCAGAGUUGGAUUCUGAGACACGAAUCCAGGUCCUACGGGGCGCAGCAGUCGCGAAAACUUCACAAUGGGCGAAAGCCCGAUGAGGGAAUUCCUAGUGCUAGCACAUUUGUGUUAGCUUUUCCUUAGCGUAGAUAACUAGGGGAAUAAGGGCUGGGUAAGACGGGUGCCAGCCGCCGCGGUAAUACCCGCAGCCCGAGUGGUGGUCGAUUUUAUUGAGUCUAAAACGUUCGUAGCCGGUCUGAUAAAUCCCUGGGUAAAUCGGGUGGCUUAACCAUCCGAAUUCCGGGGAGACUGUCAGGCUUGGGAUCGGGAGAGGUAUGAGGUACUUCAGGGGUAGGGGUAAAAUCCUGUAAUCCUUGGAGGACCACCGGUGGCGAAGGCGUCAUACUAGAACGAAUCCGACGGUGAGGGACGAAGCCCUAGGUCGCAAACGGGAUUAGAUACCCCGGUAGUCUAGGGUGUAAACGCUGCAGACUAGGUGUUGGAGGCCCUACGGGGGCACCCAGUGCCCGAGAGAAGUUGUUAAGUCUGCUACUUGGGGAGUACGUCCGCAAGGAUGAAACUUAAAGGAAUUGGCGGGGGAGCAC